UACAGAGGUCUCAAGCGUUGUUCGGAUUCAUUGGGCGUAAAGGGUGCGUAGGCGGCGCGGUAAGUCGGGUGUGAAAUCUCGGAGCUUAACUCCGAAACUGCAUUCGAUACUGCCGUGCUUGAGGACUGGAGAGGAGACUGGAAUUUACGGUGUAGCGGUGAAAUGCGUAGAUAUCGUAAGGAAGACCAGUGGCGAAGGCGGGUCUCUGGACAGUUCCUGACGCUGAGUGAGCGAAAGCCAGGGGAGCAAACGGG
RNAcentral lists this ribosomal RNA (254 nucleotides) under uncultured bacterium. RNAcentral's name for it is "partial 16S ribosomal RNA". It matches the Rfam family "Bacterial small subunit ribosomal RNA", at positions 524 to 776 of the family's 1533-position model. The record is from RNAcentral.